AGAGUUUGAUCCUGGCUCAGGACGAACGCUGGCGGCGUGCUUAACACAUGCAAGUCGAACGGAAAGGCCCUUCGGGGUACUCGAGUGGCGAACGGGUGAGUAACACGUGGGUGAUCUGCCCUGCACUUUGGGAUAAGCCUGGGAAACUGGGUCUAAUACCGGAUAGGACUACGGCCUGCAUGGGUUGUGGUGGAAAGCUUUUGCGGUGUGGGAUGGGCCCGCGGCCUAUCAGCUUGUUGGUGGGGUGAUGGCCUACCAAGGCGACGACGGGUAGCCGGCCUGAGAGGGUGGCCGGCCACACUGGGACUGAGAUACGGCCCAGACUCCUACGGGAGGCAGCAGUGGGGAAUAUUGCACAAUGGGCGCAAGCCUGAUGCAGCGACGCCGCGUGGGGGAUGACGGCCUUCGGGUUGUAAACCUCUUUCAGUAGGGACGAAGCGUAAGUGACGGUACCUAUAGAAGAAGCACCGGCCAACUACGUGCCAGCAGCCGCGGUAAUACGUAGGGUGCGAGCGUUGUCCGGAAUUACUGGGCGUAAAGAGCUCGUAGGUGGUUUGUCGCGUUGUUCGUGAAAACUCACAGCUUAACUGUGGGCGUGCGGGCGAUACGGGCAGACUAGAGUACUGCAGGGGAGACUGGAAUUCCUGGUGUAGCGGUGGAAUGCGCAGAUAUCAGGAGGAACACCGGUGGCGAAGGCGGGUCUCUGGGCAGUAACUGACGCUGAGGAGCGAAAGCGUGGGGAGCGAACAGGAUUAGAUACCCUGGUAGUCCACGCCGUAAACGGUGGGUACUAGGUGUGGGUUUCCUUCCUUGGGAUCCGUGCCGUAGCUAACGCAUUAAGUACCCCGCCUGGGGAGUACGGCCGCAAGGCUAAAACUCAAAGGAAUUGACGGGGGCCCGCACAAGCGGCGGAGCAUGUGGAUUAAUUCGAUGCAACGCGAAGAACCUUACCUGGGUUUGACAUGCACAGGACGCCGGCAGAGAUGUCGGUUCCCUUGUGGCCUGUGUGCAGGUGGUGCAUGGCUGUCGUCAGCUCGUGUCGUGAGAUGUUGGGUUAAGUCCCGCAACGAGCGCAACCCUUGUCUCAUGUUGCCAGCACGUUAUGGUGGGGACUCGUGAGAGACUGCCGGGGUCAACUCGGAGGAAGGUGGGGAUGACGUCAAGUCAUCAUGCCCCUUAUGUCCAGGGCUUCACACAUGCUACAAUGGCCGGUACAAAGGGCUGCGAUGCCGUAAGGUGGAGCGAAUCCUUGAAAGCCGGUCUCAGUUCGGAUCGGGGUCUGCAACUCGACCCCGUGAAGUCGGAGUCGCUAGUAAUCGCAGAUCAGCAACGCUGCGGUGAAUACGUUCCCGGGCCUUGUACACACCGCCCGUCACGUCAUGAAAGUCGGUAACACCCGAAGCCGGUGGCCUAACCCCUUGUGGGAGGGAGCUGUCGAAGGUGGGAUCGGCGAUUGGGACGAAGUCGUAACAAGGUAGCCGUA
This 1483-nucleotide ribosomal RNA is filed under the name uncultured bacterium. RNAcentral's name for it is "bacterial SSU rRNA". It matches the Rfam family "Bacterial small subunit ribosomal RNA". The record is from RNAcentral.